Molecule: long non-coding RNA, 201 nt
Filed under: Paramuricea clavata
Lineage: Eukaryota; Metazoa; Cnidaria; Anthozoa; Malacalcyonacea; Plexauridae
Source: RNAcentral
AUUUAAAGUGCCUAUGACACGAAAUUUCACCCCAAAUGUUUAUGAUUGCAUUGCAAAGAUCACUUAAAAUGACUUAAUAAUUUCUUUUAUAGAAUUUUGGUAACUUGCUUCCUUUUCAAGAUAUUCAACUUUGUUUCAUAUGCAAAUAUCACCGGUGUGACAUCACAUCGCAUAAUGACAUUUUGAAAACGCAAUAUUUUA